ACGGGCAUAGCUCAGCUGGUAGAGUUACGGUCUCCAAAACCGCAGGUCGUGGGUUCGAAUCCUACUGCCCGUGCUA
Molecule: transfer RNA, 76 nt
Filed under: Flammeovirga pacifica
Lineage: Bacteria; Pseudomonadati; Bacteroidota; Cytophagia; Cytophagales; Flammeovirgaceae
Also listed under: 1 other name
Description: tRNA-Trp
Rfam family: tRNA
About the family: Transfer RNA (tRNA) molecules are approximately 80 nucleotides in length.
Source: RNAcentral